This 253-nucleotide ribosomal RNA is filed under the name uncultured bacterium. RNAcentral describes it as "partial 16S ribosomal RNA". It matches the Rfam family "Bacterial small subunit ribosomal RNA", at positions 524 to 776 of the family's 1533-position model. The record is from RNAcentral.
UACGAAGGGGGCUAGCGUUGUUCGGAAUCACUGGGCGUAAAGGGCGCGUAGGCGGCUUUAUAAGUCGGGGGUGAAAGCCUGUGGCUCAACCACAGAAUUGCCUUCGAUACUGUAGAGCUUGAGACCGGAAGAGGUUAGUGGAACUGCGGGUGUAGAGGUGAAAUUCGUAGAUAUUCGCAAGAACACCAGUGGCGAAGGCGGCUGACUGGUCCGGUUCUGACGCUGAGGCGCGAAAGCGUGGGGAGCAAACAGG